GAUCCUGGCUUAGGACGAACGCUGGCGGCGUGCCUAAUACAUGCAAGUCGUAACGGCUUUUCUAUGGAAGCUUGCUUCCACUGAAAAGAUAGUGGCGAACGGGUGAGUAACACGUGGGGUAACCUGCCCAUAAGAGGGGGGAUAACAUCCGGAAACGGGUGCUAAUACCGCAUAGUUUUCUUGAUCGCAUGAUCGGGAAAGGAAAGACGGCCUUUGUGCUGUCGCUUAUGGAUGGACCCGCGGCGUAUUAGUUAGUUGGUGAGGUAACGGCUCACCAAGACGAUGAUACGUAGCCGACCUGAGAGGGUGAUCGGCCACAUUGGGACUGAGACGCGGCCCAAACUCCUACGGGAGGCAGCAGUAGGGAAUCUUCCGCAAUGGACGAAAGUCUGACGGAGCAACGCCGCGUGAGUGAAGAAAGGUUUUCGGAUCGUAAAACUCUGUUGUCAGAGAAGAACAAGUUGGAGAGUAACUGCUCCAGCCUUGACGGUAUCUGACCAGAAAGCCACGGCUAACUACGUGCCAGCCGCAGC
Molecule: ribosomal RNA, 533 nt
Filed under: uncultured bacterium
Lineage: Bacteria
Description: bacterial SSU rRNA
Rfam family: Bacterial small subunit ribosomal RNA
Source: RNAcentral